AGAAUCAACGCUGGCGGCGUGCCUAACACAUGCAAGUCGAACGAGAAAGUGGAGCAAUCCAUGAGUAAAGUGGCGCACGGGUGAGUAACACGUGACUAACCUACCCUUGAGUGGGGAAUAACCUAGGGAAACCUGGGCUAAUACCGCAUAACACCUACGGGUCAAAGGAGCAAUUCGCUUAAGGAGGGGGUCGCGGCAGAUUAGCUAGUUGGCGGGGUAAUGGCCCACCAAGGCAGCGAUCUGUA
This 245-nucleotide ribosomal RNA is filed under the name uncultured bacterium. RNAcentral describes it as "partial small subunit ribosomal RNA". It matches the Rfam family "Bacterial small subunit ribosomal RNA", at positions 26 to 285 of the family's 1533-position model. The record is from RNAcentral.